UGGAAAGUCUCUGCCCUCUGACUGACU
Molecule: non-coding RNA, 27 nt
Filed under: Mus musculus (house mouse)
Lineage: Eukaryota; Metazoa; Chordata; Mammalia; Rodentia; Muridae
Source: RNAcentral